Molecule: ribosomal RNA, 371 nt
Filed under: Cercosaura eigenmanni
Lineage: Eukaryota; Metazoa; Chordata; Lepidosauria; Squamata; Gymnophthalmidae
Description: partial 12S ribosomal RNA
Rfam family: Bacterial small subunit ribosomal RNA
Source: RNAcentral
GCUUAAGCACAACUAAGAUAGCUCCGCCAGAAAAUUACGAGCGAAAGCCUAAAACUCAAAAGACUUGACGGUGUCCCAAUCUCCCUAGAGGAGCCUGUUCCAUAAUCGACAACCCACGUUAUACCUAACCACUUUUAGAACACCCAGCCUAUAUACCGCCGUCACAUUUAGCCUACCUUUAAAAAGAAUAAAAAUAGGCCAAAUAGCACAACGCUAAUAAGUCAGGUCAAGGUGUAGCUUAUGAAGUGGAGGAAAUGGGCUACAUUAUUUAUAUUAAAUAUACGAAUUUUCUCCCUGAAAAAGAAAAUGAAGGCGGAUUUAGCAGUAAUUUAAACAAGAAAACUUAAAUUAACCCUGGCUCUGGGACAUGU